AGUGAGAGCCUGCGCUGUGCGGGGGAGAGUGUCGCGCCGGCCGCCGUCCCAGGACUUUUAUUUCAAAUGUGACCUGUGUAGCAACCGCAGUUCCCAAACCCGGGAAGAAGAGAGUAUAGAUGAGUCUUAAAAUCUAUGUUGACUGUUUUGUGUUUCCAGACACCCUUGCCUUCCUUUUUCUGGUCUACCAUUUAGAUUUAGAUCUUUCGUCUCCCUUGUUUCCCCAGCCUACGUAUCCUUUAAUAAAUUCCUGCAUUUUGAAAACGGAGAAUUUCAAAUGCGAUUAUCGUCAUUUUGCAGAUGAGAAAUAAAGGCUGGGAAAGAUUUAAAAAGAUUGAACAUCAAGGGAGAGUUCGGCUCCCAGGACCUUGACCUCGCUACAUGGGCAGAGAACGCCCAGGUGUUGUUGCAAUUGUUGUGCUGGACGAUGAGUGCCCGGGGGCGGGGGCGGGGGCGGGGGCUUGACGCAGGUCUUUGCAGCUCUAAAGCUCAGUUUACACCAUCUCUCAACAUUAAAAUAUUGUGUACUGGGGUUUAAUAAUAAAACUGUACAGAUGUGAUAAUAUACUAAAACUUUCACUUAACGGAAGAGGUGCCUUUAAAGAAAAAACCGCACAGGGGCAUCAUUUGGGCUAGUGAAGGCCCUUUUUCCUCCUUCUUUAUUAAGGUAUAAUUGACAAAAAUUGUGUUUACGGCGUACACAUGUUUUGAUUAUGUGUAUAUUGUGUCAAAUAUAUACAGCUUCUGAAAACAGAAUACUAUUGUUUCAUUCCUCCAUGCUUUUGCUCAAACUGGCCCUUCUGCCUGGAAUAAUCAGCCAUCUCCAUGCCGCCCCAUCAAUUCAGGUACUAUCUCCUUGAGGAAGUUCCCUCUUGAAAAGUGUCUUUUUUAGAUUCAGUGUGACCUGUACUUAUUCGUCUAUCCCUCAUGUUUGGCACACACAUUCUUUGUAAAGUAUCAUGACAGCGGUCACGUCAAAUGAAAAGAAAUGGGAUCUGUCCCUUGGUUGUCAGAGUCAGCCCUGUCUUUAGGAUGCCUUUACAGUGGUGUCUGAAACCAUGCCUAUAUACUUUAUGAAGUUAAUCUGGGAAAAAGGGGUGGGGGGAACGAAAUUAAACCAAGCUUGCAGCACACUGAGGAUUAAUAAUUAGGUCAGCUUGCUGUCUGACCCCUUCCUCAUAAUUGUUUGCCUAUUGCUUCAGAAUCAUGUAGACUCUGUUACAAGGUUAUAGUUUCCCCUAACUGCUCUAUAGACAACAACUUGAACAUUAUGAAACGUUAAGUUUGUGCUUUGAGAUAACCUUUCAGGUCCUUCGUACUGAUGAAACUACUGACUCAGCUGGUCUGACAAGGAGCUGACUCACCAAAGAAUGCAGUUCCCACAUCCUGAUGGUUUCAUUCCUCCUUACCCCAGCCAAUCGAGGACCCUAAUUUUCCAGCCCAUUGCCCUCCAGGAUCCCCUUAAAAGCCCCAGCACAGAACUCCUCAGAGAGAUGAAUUUGAGGGUUUCCUCCCAUCUCCUCUCGGCACCCUGCCAUCACUAAACUCUUUCUCUUCUGCAAACCCUGCUGUCUCAGUGUAUACUGUGCAGUGGGCAUAUGAAUCUGUUGGUCCUGUAGUGGAUGCUGUGGCACACCACCCAGAUCCCCCUCUUCAAGACCUAAGCAGGCAUUCCUCCAGCUGCUGAGUACUGCCAAAGAGAAGCACCUCUCCCCACGGGUAUACCCCCUUUCUAGGCAACAGCUAGUCAAGUAACUGGUUGAAACGGGUAUAAAAUCCCCUAAACCAAUGUAGGGCUACUUUGCUUGGCCAUCCCAGCUCCAGAGCUCCCCAUCCUAUUGGUUGUGUGAUGACUGCACUGCCACCCAACUUUUCUCUCUGCCCAAACCUGCCAUCCUCUAUCAGGUGAGCAUCAAUAGCACACACUAUCGGGCCACACUUACUAGGCUUGGCAUUUUAUUAGCAGUGGAUAAGUUACUUCUCUGUCUUAUCUGGUACUUCUGUGAAAUAAUAAUACCUACACCUCGAAGAGUUAUUUAUGAUGAUUACAUGAGAUAACGUAUGUAAAGCCCUUUGCACAGUCUCUGGCAUACAAGAUAUGAUCAGUAAAUGUCAGCAAUUAUUUCUGAUUUGGAAUUCUACCACAGUAUUACAUUUUCUAAAUCAGAGCAGGUGUAGGUGUAUGGAGGGGUCAGAUUAUUUUAAACCUUAAAGGCUUAGAGCUGGAAAAAAAUGCUGAUGCAGCAGCUCAACUCACUUAUUUCCCUACAAUGAAG
This 2276-nucleotide long non-coding RNA is filed under the name Homo sapiens (human). RNAcentral's name for it is "non-protein coding lnc-GK3P-6:1". The record is from RNAcentral. Lineage: Eukaryota; Metazoa; Chordata; Mammalia; Primates; Hominidae.